Non-coding RNA from Ornithorhynchus anatinus (platypus), 137 nucleotides. The record is from Rfam. NCBI's taxonomy places the organism in Eukaryota, Metazoa, Chordata, Mammalia, Monotremata, Ornithorhynchidae.
GCCCUCUCAGGGUCACACCUGGAGAGUUUCCAGUACUCUACCAGUCCUGACUACAGGAGGGAGAUCUAGCAGAGGCCUACCCAUUCCAUUCCUAGCUUGGACAGUGGCUAGCGAGUGGAAGGCCAUCUGCUACAAGU